UAAGUGGUUUGGUUCUCAGAUGAGAAUGUACAGGGAACUAAACGCCUCGUGGAGUGGUGCAAAAGGAAUAACAGGCUAUAUUCUACUAUAUUCUCGGCAGCGAUACCAACGCGCACCAUGCGGUGUGGAGCAGCAAAAACUGUUAUUUAAAGUUAAGUUAUGUUAAUUGGGAUAAGAUGUUUGCCUUCAAUAUACCCACUUGUGUAUGAAAGCAAUACCAGACUUGCUUAAUUCUAUUUAAAAUGGUAUUGGCUGUUUUAAGCUUGUGAGGACCCAAUUUGUAUUUAUUUUUAAAGGUGGCUAGCAGGCGAACAAAAUAUUCUAGGACAUUGAUUCAGUUAUCAGAUUGUAUCGAGCGGGCGAACAAAAUGUCCUAGGACAAUGAUUCUUUCAUUAGAUUGUGUCUAGCGGGCGAAUUUUUGGUUGUUUUAGGGGUCUAGCAGGCAAACAGAAUGUCCUAGGACAACGAUUCAUGAGAUUUUUUAGGUGUCUAGCGGGCAAAGCCGAUGUCGUAGAACAACAAUUAUUUCAUUCUAAUUGUUGUAGUUGUUUUCAAUUGUCAUAUACAAUAUUUGUGUUUAAUACUACGGGAAAGCACAAAAGGGCAAUUUUGCCACAGUACGUUAAUUAAAAACCUUUUUUCCAAAUAAUUCUUUUGUAAACUUCAUCUCAUAACUUGUUAACUUGCAAUAUAUUUCUAACUAGCUUUAACCCGCGGCUUCGCUCGCGAAUAUCUAAUAUAAUGAAGUUGCUUCCGUACGCGUCUGUAGUCACAGAAGAAGUAACAAUGAAGUAGAAUGGCGGGAAGUUUAAAAUGGCUGAAAGUAUAGUCUAUGGAAGUAUAGUUUACAGUCUCCAUAGUGUAGUCAAUUGGAUUUGAUGUUGACGUAGCUGUCGGUAAUACAGUGUGAUAAUACAGUGUGAUGGUACUAUAGUACAAGUUAGGUGUGAGCUUCAUUGCUGGAAUGCUAGAUGACGUUAAAGUAGUCAAAUAACCAGAGGCAGAGGUAUUAUUGGCUAAACAAUUUCUUUAUUUUAUUUAAAAAAUAAUUUUUUUUAUUAAAAAAAGGUAGCCUAUAACCAUUCGGGGACCACUAAGAAUAUGUAUACAUAUUUUCAUGAUGAUCUGUUGAGUAGUUUUUGCGUGAAAGUAUAAUAAACAUCAGGUCUUUCGCAUUUAUAAUAUUAUUAGUAGGGAUUGCAUUUCUGUCGUAUGCAGAUAGAAGAAUGCCCCUCCAACUGCGGGUCUGUUAUCAAUUUCCUGGCUUGCUUAGUUCGGCUUAGUCGGUUGAGCGCUGCUCUGUGGUUCGCACGUGUUUCCUUCAUUAAUCAAACGUGGUGACGAUUUCUUGCAUUUCUUGAUAUUUUGUAGCAUUACUAGAAUCGAUUGACAACAAAAGCAUUAGUAGUAACAGCCCAGUGUGGCAUAAAACGAAUGAUUUGAGUGAUUCGUUACGGUGCGCGCGUAGCGUCCGUCGGAUAUGUUCCGGUGACUAUGAAUACUUUCUGAUGUUCAAGUUAUAUUUAUGUGUUUGUGAAUACAAGUGAAUACAUUUCAUCAAUUCUACAUAUAGUUUGCGGAAAUGUGUUUGUGCGGUUUAGUCCUUUGAUAGAAGAACAAUGAAGUAAGUAGCAGCAAAUAAAACUUUUACUUUUAUUUAACUUUUUAAAUCUCACAGUUACCAUGUUAUUGCUUUAGAAUAAUUGUAAAUGUUCGGUCAAUAAAGGAAAUUUUCCAUUCUUGUAAACAAUGUGUUCACUUAGUCGUUUUCUGGAUUAGUAUUAAGUCAUGUUGAACUCUAAGAGGACACCAUAGAAUAACAUAGUGAAGAAAGAGAGAGAGAAUAAAGGAGAGAGGAGAGCAGAUAGGAAAGAGGCACCCCGAAAGAACACAAGACUGGUAGCUUGGAAUUUAAAUUUUUUGGCGGCGUGUCGUUCUAUAAUACAGUCAAUUCUUAUCAUUUUUAUACCUGCUUUGUUCAUGUUGCAUGCCUAUACUUUCUCCUGUUUAGUCGUUCAGUGCGCGUUUGCCACGACCCUCGUUGCAUCUUUUAGCGGUUCUGGAGAUUUUGAUUUGGUAGUAAUUUGUAACGGUCGGCAAUGGUAUUUUGUAAUAACACUCGGUUGUGUCCAACGGUUAAUGGUUUGCGGAAUGUGGAUUCCAGAAUUGAGUGGCUCUAUUCACAUGUGUUCCGACGGCAACCGUUAUAAUUACUGGGACUUUGUUCCCCGUGUGAAGUGAAGAUUGUCAGCAAGGGAAAUAAUGUGAGUAGCAUCAAUUCUAUUUACAAUUAUCAUGUGAUGUGUUAAACUUGCCUAUGAGGGGGCUGUAGUAACAGUUAUCUCAUCCAUGUUUACUUAUCCUUACUAAUAUUAUAAAUGCGUAUGUCCUGAAGUUUAUCGUGCUUUCACGCAAAAACUACUUAACAGAUCAUCAUGAAAAUUUGUACACAUAUUCUUAGUGGUCCCCGAUAGGUUAUAGGCUACUUUUCAUUUAAUAAAAAUAAUUAUUUUUUUAAAUAAAAUAAAGAAAUUGUUUAGUCACUAACACCUGUGCAUCUGGUUAUUUGACUACUUUAACGCCCUCUAGCAUUCCAGCAAUGAAGCUCACACCUAAGUACUAUAGUACCAUCACACUGUAUUACCGACAGCUACGUCAACAUCAAAUCCGUACACAUAUUCUUAGUGGUCCCCGAUGGUCCCCGAAUGGUUAUAGGCUACUUUUUUUUAUUAAAAAAAUUUUUUUAAAUAAAAUAAAGAAAUUGUUUAGCCAAUAAUACCUCUGCAUCUGGCUAAUUGACUACUUUAACGCCAUCUAGCAUUCCAUCUAAAAUUUAAAACUUUAUUGCAUGUAGUAAUUUUUUCACAUAGAUAAUCCUAGCCAAGCAGUGAAAUAUACAUUCUUUCUAUCAAUCCGUUUCAAC
Molecule: long non-coding RNA, 2924 nt
Organism: Dalotia coriaria
Lineage: Eukaryota; Metazoa; Arthropoda; Insecta; Coleoptera; Staphylinidae
Exons: 6
Source: RefSeq, a predicted model, not a curated record